Long non-coding RNA from Nelumbo nucifera (sacred lotus), 612 nucleotides. RefSeq lists it as uncharacterized. NCBI's taxonomy places the organism in Eukaryota, Viridiplantae, Streptophyta, Magnoliopsida, Proteales, Nelumbonaceae. The record is from RefSeq and is a predicted model, not a curated record.
CCACCGACUGCCGCUAGAGAAAAGGCACGGGCUGAGCUUUUCCUUCCCCGCGCAUCUUCCUUCCUGCCCUCUCUGUCUCUCUUCUCUCCCAGUCGUCUCUCUCUUAGUCCUCUCUCUCUCUUGAGCUCUCUAUCUCAGUCGACCCUCUCUCUCAAUUGUUAUCUCACUCUCGCUCGCUCUUAUCUCAAUAUCUCUCACACACAGUCGCACUUUGGCAAGUAUCUCAUUCACACAUCGGUGGCAUUUGAUUUAGGGGUGUAACUGACUCAAGUUUUAAUCAAACAGUUUUGGCUUGAAUUGGAUUAAGCUUGAUUCAAGUUCGAUGCUAAUCGAGUUCGAAUCUCAGCUCAAAACAUGGAAACUUUGAAAACAGAGUAAAAGCUCACUAGAAUCAUCAGAGAUCUCCUGGGACCUAGCAUCAGCACAGACCCAACUAAUGCUCAACACAAGAAGAUGGAAAAGCCCCACUCUCACAGUCAUAGUGCCUGAGGGGAAAAUUAGUGCCAGUUGUGGGAGAAGGAAAUUGAACUUAAGGAGAUGAAAGAGCAAUUGAAUGAACUUGUAGACCUACUACAGCAGAGUGAAGCACAGAGAAAAGAAAUUCUUUUACAA